UACGAAGGGGGCUAGCGUUGUUCGGAAUUACUGGGCGUAAAGCGCACGUAGGCGGAUAUUUAAGUCAGGGGUGAAAUCCCAGAGCUCAACUCUGGAACUGCCUUUGAUACUGGGUAUCUCGAGUAUGGAAGAGGUGAGUGGAAUUCCGAGUGUAGAGGUGAAAUUCGUAGAUAUUCGGAGGAACACCAGUGGCGAAGGCGGCUCACUGGUCCAUUACUGACGCUGAGGUGCGAAAGCGUGGGGAGCAAAACAGG
This 254-nucleotide ribosomal RNA is filed under the name uncultured bacterium. RNAcentral's name for it is "partial 16S ribosomal RNA". It matches the Rfam family "Bacterial small subunit ribosomal RNA", at positions 524 to 776 of the family's 1533-position model. The record is from RNAcentral.